GUAUUAUAAUAAAUCAUACAACUUUCAGCAACGGAUCUCUUGGCUCUCGCAUCGAUGAAGAACGCAGCGAAUUGCGAUAAGUAAUGUGAAUUGCAGAUUUUCAGUGAAUCAUCGAAUCUUUGAACGCACCUUGCGCUCCUUGGUAUUCCGAGGAGCAUGCCUGUUUGAGUGUCAUUGAAUUCUCAACCAUGUCUUGAAGACAUUGGCUUUGGAGUUGGGUGUUGCUGGCGGCGACAAGCUUGUCAGCUCUCCUGAAAUGCAUUAGCAAAAGGGCUUGCAAGUCUUUUGACGUGCACGGCCUUCGACGUGAUAAUGAUCGUCGUGGCUGGAGCGGUCAAGGACAUGCAUUCGGAAUGGUCCUUGUGCUUCUAAUCCACCUGCCCACAAUGGGCCAGCUUACUAGCUAGUCU
RNAcentral lists this ribosomal RNA (410 nucleotides) under Imperator rhodopurpureus. Its description in RNAcentral is "eukaryotic LSU rRNA". The stretch from base 20 to 174 matches the Rfam family "5.8S ribosomal RNA". Lineage: Eukaryota; Fungi; Basidiomycota; Agaricomycetes; Boletales; Boletaceae. The record is from RNAcentral.